Raphanus sativus (radish) is the source of this 662-nucleotide long non-coding RNA. RefSeq lists it as uncharacterized. The record is from RefSeq and is a predicted model, not a curated record. The transcript is spliced from 3 exons. Lineage: Eukaryota; Viridiplantae; Streptophyta; Magnoliopsida; Brassicales; Brassicaceae.
AACAAAAUGUUGCAGGUGGUUUCACUUUGUUAAGCUCCGUCUCUACUACAUGACGCAAAUAUUAGAAUGAUGUUUCCACCUGAUGUUAUUGAAAAAGCUAAACAUUUUCUUUUCUUGAACUCAGGAGGAUUGGGAGCUUAUAGUGACUCAAGAGAUCUUCUGGAAGUUAGAGAAGAGGUUGCUGAGUUCAUUGACGCCAUGGGUACCCAGGGACCAAGAACUAACAUUUUUCACUGAUGGAUCUAGAAGAUGGUCGUGAUGGAGAUGAACGCAAAGGCGAUGACUUUGACCAGCCUUGGCGUCUUCACCGCGUCUAAUCCAACGUCGGAGAGUUUCAUCGUCGUCACACGGUGACACAAAAGCAGAGCACGACGGAUCGAGCAGAAGAAACAAAAACUAAAAAACAGAGUUUGUAACGGAGUUAUUAACAGACGACGACGGCGACGGUGGAGUGACGGAGGGAGGGAGGUGGAGGUUGAGACACGUGGAUGAGGUGGGAGUGAGUGAAGGUACGGAACUCGAGGACUACUGCUCGCAUGAGGACAAUCGAAACAGAACAGAAGAAGAAGAAAGAAUAGUUAAAGGCGUUAUAUAAUGAUGACCUAAUUACAACCUGGAAGAAAUCUAUUUGCUUUUUUAACUAAUUUUUUUAAUAUAGUGGA